GCGUUUUUAGUUCAGUUGGUAGAACGUAGGUCUCCAAAACCUAAUGUCGUAGGUUCGAGUCCUACAAAGCGUG
This 73-nucleotide transfer RNA is filed under the name Eutreptia sp. CCAC 1914B. RNAcentral describes it as "tRNA-Trp". It matches the Rfam family "tRNA". Rfam says of the family: Transfer RNA (tRNA) molecules are approximately 80 nucleotides in length. The record is from RNAcentral. Lineage: Eukaryota; Euglenozoa; Euglenophyceae; Eutreptiales; Eutreptiaceae.